This is a long non-coding RNA of Suricata suricatta (meerkat), 2982 nucleotides long. RefSeq lists it as uncharacterized. The record is from RefSeq and is a predicted model, not a curated record. The transcript has 2 exons. NCBI's taxonomy places the organism in Eukaryota, Metazoa, Chordata, Mammalia, Carnivora, Herpestidae.
GAUACCUGAGGAAACUUCAUCUCACAAAUUGUUUGUUUGUAGAAGUGAUUAUUUCCUUGUCUUGAGGAGGAGUUUGAUUAGCAUUUGGAACUGCAGUUAAGAGGUCAUUGUAGAGCAAACUGUUCGCCCAAGUUUGUGUUCUUGAGACAAGCCACGUUUUUGUGCAUGCUGAAGGGGCGGGGGACAACCCAGUCGCUUUGUUUACCUCUUUGGGAAGCUUUGUUCAGCAAAGAUCUGAAAGCCUGUUAGGUCCUGUGCCAGGUGUUGGGGUACAAGGACGAGGCCUUCCGUAGUGAUACUUCAGUAGGGGAUGGCUGUGCAAACACUGACCAACACCGGGGAAGUGUGUGUGGCGUGCCGUGGUGGCCUACAGCCCUUAGGCCCCAGAAGCUGAGCUGUCUUCAGUGUUGUUGGGGGAGAUGCGUGGCAGCGGCGUGCUGCAGGCCAGGACGGGCCUGCUCUUGCAGGGGGGCUUCAGUUUGUAAUCCACAGUCCUUUCGUGGGAGCUACUGAAAGGUGUGUAGGAGGGGGAAUACCGGGCCGCAGUUUGGUGCUGGGAGGACACCUCUGGCCCAGUACGGGGUGUGGACUGAAGAGGGGCGAGGCCGGGUCCUGAGGCUGCUGUUGGAGAGGUGUGAGCUGCAGAGGGUCCUGGCCCACAGGCCUUUCUGGUGAGGCGAGGGGGGCACUUAGGAGACCCAGUCAGCAGGCUUUGGUUAGUGACUGGAUGGUGGAGGUGAGGGGAGGGAGGGAUCUAGAAUGCCCUCCCGGUUUCUGGCUCAGGCAGCAGGUUCUCCAGGCCAGGGGUGAAGGAAGGGGCAACGAACUUGGGUAGAAGAUGGAGGAUUCGGUCUGACAGAAAAUGCAUUUAAUAUUUGUGUGCUCCUUCUUAUACCUGAUCCAUUGGGAUCUGUGGGUCUGGGGCUUGGGAAGGAGGUCUGGCUGCAGGUCAGGAUUUGGAAGUCAUCAGGGGAGGUGGGACCUAAAAGCCGAGCGAGAGGUGCUAUUGUUCACUUGAAUCCUGUGCUGAAGUUGGAAACCGUUUCAUUGUGUUGAGAUAGUCAGGGGUAUACAGGAAAUGGGUAGUGGAUAUAGUUUGUAGGAAUAAGAUUCUCUGAAAAUUAGUGCCUCAGUGACUGUAGGCCCAGGAUUUUCUAACAUUCUGUAUGCUCUUGCUACAAAGAAUUCGAAUGAUGGGGCAACGCAGAGAAAAUAGAGCAUCCUUAUUGCUUCUCUCAGAUCGCCUCAAGGUGAUACAAAAAGUCUUCAUUCAAUUUUGUUUUGCAUAGUGAUUCUGUAUAUCUAGAGGUUUAUUGGAUCGAUACUGCAAAGAAGAUUCAUGCAUUCACUCAGGAAGUUAUUUGUUGAAUACCAGCCAGGUGCUAACUAAACAUAUGGGGAGAUGGCAACGACACAAAACAGUGUCCCUGCCUUCGUGGGGCUUUAUAAUCUGGGGGAGGAGACGUUCAUAGACAAUAAGCAAAAAGGCCUCUAAGAGGUUAUAAGUGUUGUGAAGAACAUUAAGUCCAGGGUACGGAGACAGAGAGCGUCGGGGGUGUUAUCUAGAUGGGGUAUGAUAAGGUGUUUUUUGAGGAGCAGCCAUUUGAGCAGAAAUCUGAGUGGAAGUGAUGGAGUGAGCCAUGUGGGCAUCUAGAUAAACGGUGUUAGAUGGAGAGGGAAGAGCAGGUGCGAGGACCCUGAGGAGCGGCAGGGAGGUCGGGGGCCCGAAGUGGUGGGACCUGAGGGGAGAGGUUUCGCUGGCGCUCUCUGACGUAUUUGCCUUCACUCCAAGGUGAGGACAGUUGUGGUCACUCUCGGCAGCCCCCCCUAGAGGGAGAGCGCGUUCCUGGGCCGGUUAGUGGCAGGUCCUGUGAGAAGCAGCGGCCAGGUGUGGGCUGGAGUGGCAGCAGCCGUCGGAGGAGCUGUGUCCCCACCCAGCUGGGGUCACUUCUUUUGAUGGAGAACAGACAUUUCCUGUCAACCCUUGAAAUGGUAACAAAUGACAGUUCGGAAGAGCAUUUUUGGAUGAAGUCUCAUGGAUGUUUAGAAAGGCUAGCUGUUGCCCUCUGUUCUCUACCACUUCCCUCUUGGUACCCCUUCAGAAAUGACUCAGUUUACCUCCUGCAGCCUUUGUGACUUUGCGACACCCCAUAGUGGAAAGAGCAGCGAAGGCAGCAAGUGGGUUUGGGGUCUGUGUCCGUUGUUGUCACAAAUCAUCUUGGAGUUUAGCAGUUCCUUCCACUUACGGGAACCUCCGUUUCCUUGUCUGUAAAAGAAGAGGAUUGGAGUAAGCGAGCUCCGGAACCUUUCCGCUCAUCGUGCUCUCUGCUGCCUCUCGUUUGUCCCUGUGAGGCGGUCAGUGCCAUGAAAUCCAUGUCAAGAACAACGGUGCUCAGUUGCUGACAUUUCUGGUAAUGAUAGUAAAGUAGAUUCUCCUUCAGGUGCUGGUAAACAAGAGCUAACCAGUUCUGGAAUCAUCCCUCACCAUCCUACGAUCCCUUGAGUAAACCAUCUAAAAGGUUGUUUUUAGGCUCGGUUCCCUCAUGGUCAGCUUGCUGUCUGCAGUGCUUAGUGGUUGUGCUGCUGCUGCUGUUUGACUGGUGGUUCGCUGGGCGUCUGUGCAGUUCAUGCCAUCACGGUGGUGACUGCCGUGCCAGGCAGAGAGGAGUCGAUUUGGGGCCCCAGAGGGAUACUUGUAGUUCUCUGUGUUGGCCACUUUCUAGGCCAAUGGAAAAGGAAGUAGAUGAAGUUGAAACUGACCUCUUGUCGCCCCCGCUCUGCCCUCUACCUCCCACUCAUGCGCUCGCCACCCCUUUGUAGAGAGAGUCUGCUCCUCAGAUUCCUGAAAUCUCUCGAGCUCAACCUGUGCCCGCAUUGUGCCUGGGACCGGAUACUUACGGGAGAAUUACUUCUGUUAGAAGAGUAAAUUACGUAUGUGAAGAUGGUAAAGAGAAGCAGUAUUUUACAAACAAGCCUUUUGGA